RNAcentral lists this ribosomal RNA (504 nucleotides) under uncultured bacterium. Its description in RNAcentral is "bacterial SSU rRNA". It matches the Rfam family "Bacterial small subunit ribosomal RNA", at positions 94 to 630 of the family's 1533-position model. The record is from RNAcentral.
AGUGGCGACCGGGUGAGUAACACGUGACUAACCUACCUCCGAGUGGGGAAUAACUCCGGGAAACCGGGGCUAAUACCGCAUAACAUCGCAAGAUCAAAGCAGCAAUGCGCUUGGAGAGGGGGUCGCGGCUGAUUAGCUAGUUGGCGGGGUAACGGCCCACCAAGGCGAAGAUCGGUAUCCGGCCUGAGAGGGCGCACGGACACACUGGAACUGAAACACGGUCCAGACUCCUACGGGAGGCAGCAGUGGGGAAUUUUGCGCAAUGGGGGAAACCCUGACGCAGCAACGCCGCGUGGAGGAUGAAGCCCUUUGGGGCGUAAACUCCUUUCGACUCGGACGAUAAUGACGGUACGAGUGGAAGAAGCACCGGCUAACUCUGUGCCAGCAGCCGCGGUAAUACAGAGGGUGCAAGCGUUGUUCGGAAUUAUUGGGCGUAAAGGGCGCGUAGGCGGUGCGCUAAGUCACCUGUGAAAUCUCCCGGCUUAACUGGGAGCCUGCAGGCGA